Molecule: ribosomal RNA, 468 nt
Filed under: uncultured bacterium
Lineage: Bacteria
Description: partial 16S ribosomal RNA
Rfam family: Bacterial small subunit ribosomal RNA
Source: RNAcentral
GAUGAACGCUGGCGGCGUGCUUAAUACAUGCAAGUCGAACGGAAAGGCGCUGCGUUUGUUGGGUGGUUGAGUGGGGAACGGGUGAGUAACACGUGUGUAAAAUGCCCUUGUCUUUGGGAUAAAUUCAGGAAAAUGGGGCUAAUAUCGGGUAGGAUAUUCUGCUGCAUGGUGGGGGUUGGAAAGUUUCGGCGGUUGGGGCUGGUCUCGCGGCUUAUCAGCUUGUUGGUGGAGUAGUGGAUUACCAAGGUUUUGACGGGUAGGCGGCCUGAGAGGGUGACCGGCCACAUGAGGACUGAGAUACGGCCCAGACUGCUACGUGAGGCAGCAGUGGAGAAUAUUGCACAAUGGGCGGAAGCCUGAUGCAGCAACGCCGCGUGCGGGAUGACGGCCUUCGGGUGGUAAACCUCUUUCGCCUGUGACGAAGCGUGAGUGACGGUAAUGAAUAAAGAAGCACCGGCUAACUACGUG